Molecule: ribosomal RNA, 400 nt
Filed under: uncultured bacterium
Lineage: Bacteria
Description: bacterial SSU rRNA
Rfam family: Bacterial small subunit ribosomal RNA
Source: RNAcentral
UGGGGAAUAUUGGACAAUGGGCGAAAGCCUGAUCCAGCAAUGCCGCGUGAGUGAUGAAGGCCUUAGGGUUGUAAAGCUCUUUUAGUGGGGAAGAUAAUGACGGUACCCACAGAAAAAGCCCCGGCUAACUUCGUGCCAGCAGCCGCGGUAAUACGAAGGGGGCAAGCGUUAUUCGGAAUUACUGGGCGUAAAGAGCGCGUAGGCGGUUUACCAAGUUGGAAGUGAAAGCCCGGGGCUUAACCUCGGAAUUGCUUUCAAAACUAGUAAGCUAGAGAACGGUAGAGGAUAGUGGAAUUCCUAGUGUAGAGGUGAAAUUCUUAGAUAUUAGGAGGAACACCAGUGGCGAAGGCGGCUAUCUGGGCCGUUUCUGACGCUGAGGCGCGAAAGCGUGGGGAGCAAA